CGGAACACGUACAGAACCUUCCUUUAAGCGGGGGAUAGCCCAUAGAAAUGUGGAUUAAUACCCCAUAGUAAUGUUGAGUGGCAUCACUUAAUAUUUAAAGAUUUAUCACUUAAAGAUGGCUGUGCGGCUGAUUAGGUAGUUGGUGCGGGUAACGGCCCACCAAGCCAGCGAUCAGUAACUGGUGUGAGAGCACGACCAGUCACACGGGCACUGAGACACGGGCCCG
Molecule: ribosomal RNA, 226 nt
Filed under: uncultured bacterium
Lineage: Bacteria
Description: partial 16S ribosomal RNA
Rfam family: Bacterial small subunit ribosomal RNA
Source: RNAcentral